Molecule: ribosomal RNA, 437 nt
Filed under: uncultured bacterium
Lineage: Bacteria
Description: bacterial SSU rRNA
Rfam family: Bacterial small subunit ribosomal RNA
Source: RNAcentral
CAGUCGAGAAUUUUUCACAAUGGGGGAAACCCUGAUGGAGCGACGCCGCGUGGGGGAUGAAUGGCUUCGGCCCGUAAACCCCUGUCAUUUGCGAACAAUGCCUGUGUUCUAAUAAAACGCAGGUUGAUAGUAGCGAAAGAGGAAGGGACGGCUAACUCUGUGCCAGCAGCCGCGGUAAUACAGAGGUCCCAAGCGUUGUUCGGAUUCACUGGGCGUAAAGGGUGCGUAGGUGGUCGGGUAAGUCUGGUGUGAAAUCUCCGAGCUCAACUCGGAAAUGGCAUUGGAUACUAUUCGGCUAGAGGAUUGGAGGGGGGACUGGAAUACUUGGUGUAGCAGUGAAAUGCGUAGAUAUCAAGUGGAACACCAGUGGCGAAGGCGAGUCCCUGGACAAUUCCUGACACUGAGGCACGAAAGCUAGGGGAGCAAACAGGAUUAGA